GCAGCACCCGCGGUAAUUCCAGCGCCAAUAGCGUAUAUUAAAGUUGUUGCAGUUAAAAAGCUCGUAGUUGGAUUUCUGGUAGGGUGCCAAUGUCCGCCGCCGUGCGUGCGCAGCGGCGCCCUUCCAUCCUUGUGUCAACGCCUCUUGGCAUUCGUUUGCUGGUGGCGGGCUCACAUAUUUUACCUUGAGAAAAUUAGAGUGUUUCAGGCAGGCUAGGCCGGAAUACAUUAGCAUGGAAUAAUGGAAUAGGACUUUGGUGCUAUUUCGUUGGUUAAUGGGACCGAAGUAAUGAUUAAAAGGGACAGUUGGGGCCGUUUAUAUUUCGUUGUCAGAGGUGAAAUUCUUGGAUUUACGAAAGAUAAACUUCUGCGAAAGCAUUCGGCAAGGAUGUUUUCAUUGAUCAAGAACGAAAGU
This 414-nucleotide ribosomal RNA is filed under the name uncultured eukaryote. RNAcentral's name for it is "SSU rRNA". It matches the Rfam family "Eukaryotic small subunit ribosomal RNA", at positions 567 to 990 of the family's 1831-position model. The record is from RNAcentral.